GACGAACGCUGGCGGCGUGCUUAACACAUGCAAGUCGAACGGAAAGGCCCUGCUUGCAGGGUGCUCGAGUGGCGAACGGGUGAGUAACACGUGGGUGAUCUGCCCCUUACUUUGGGAUAAGCCUGGGAAACUGGGUCUAAUACUGGAUAGGACCAUGCUGUAGGUAGUGUGGUGGAAAGAUUAGUUUCGGUAAGGGAUGAGCUCGCGGCCUAUCAGCUUGUUGGUGGGGUAAUGGCCUACCAAGGCGUCGACGGGUAGCCGGCCUGAGAGGGUGGACGGCCACAUUGGGACUGAGAUACGGCCCAGACUCCUACGGGAGGCAGCAGUGGGGAAUAGUGCACAAUGGGCGCAAGCCUGAUGCAGCGACGCCGCGUGGGGGAUGACGGCCUUCGGGUUGUAAACUCCUUUCAGCCAUGACGAAGCCCUUGUGGUGACGGUAGUGGUAGAAGAAGCACCGGCUAACUACGUG
RNAcentral lists this ribosomal RNA (469 nucleotides) under uncultured bacterium. RNAcentral describes it as "partial 16S ribosomal RNA". It matches the Rfam family "Bacterial small subunit ribosomal RNA", at positions 28 to 507 of the family's 1533-position model. The record is from RNAcentral.